This 259-nucleotide ribosomal RNA is filed under the name uncultured bacterium. Its description in RNAcentral is "partial 16S ribosomal RNA". It matches the Rfam family "Bacterial small subunit ribosomal RNA", at positions 338 to 596 of the family's 1533-position model. The record is from RNAcentral.
CCUACGGGAGGCAGCAGUGGGGAAUAUUGCACAAUGGGCGCAAGCCUGAUGCAGCGACGCCGCGUGCGGGAUGGAGGCCUUCGGGUUGUAAACCGCUUUUGUUCAAGGGCAAGGCACGGUCUUUGGCCGUGUUGAGCUGAUUGUUCGCAUAAGCACCGGCUAACUACGUGCCAGCAGCCGCGGUACUACGUUGGGUGCAAGCGUUAUCCGGAUUUAUUUGGCGUAAAGGGCUCGUAGGCGGUUCGUUGCGUCCGGUGUG